RNAcentral lists this transfer RNA (76 nucleotides) under Cryomorphaceae bacterium BACL29 MAG-121220-bin8. RNAcentral describes it as "tRNA-His". It matches the Rfam family "tRNA". Rfam says of the family: Transfer RNA (tRNA) molecules are approximately 80 nucleotides in length. Their secondary structure includes four short double-helical elements and three loops (D, anti-codon, and T loops). Lineage: Bacteria; Pseudomonadati; Bacteroidota; Flavobacteriia; Flavobacteriales; Cryomorphaceae. The record is from RNAcentral.
GUGGUUGUAGUUCAGUUGGUUAGAACGCCUGGUUGUGGUCCAGGAGGUCGCCGGUUCGAAUCCGGUCUUCCACCCA